GGUGUGAUAGUUAAGCACUGGGCUGCUAACCCAAAGGUUGGUGGUUCGAACCCACCCAGCACCU
This 64-nucleotide transfer RNA is filed under the name Loxodonta africana (African savanna elephant). It matches the Rfam family "tRNA". Rfam says of the family: Transfer RNA (tRNA) molecules are approximately 80 nucleotides in length. Their secondary structure includes four short double-helical elements and three loops (D, anti-codon, and T loops). The record is from Rfam by way of RNAcentral. Lineage: Eukaryota; Metazoa; Chordata; Mammalia; Proboscidea; Elephantidae.